This is a long non-coding RNA of Quercus lobata, 505 nucleotides long. RefSeq lists it as uncharacterized. The record is from RefSeq and is a predicted model, not a curated record. The transcript is spliced from 3 exons. Lineage: Eukaryota; Viridiplantae; Streptophyta; Magnoliopsida; Fagales; Fagaceae.
UUCUUUAUGUUAUCAGUUACCAUGAAGGCUUUGGUAAAUGGGUAGAGGUUGGAAAUUCUGGCAUGUUUAGACCUGAAAUGUUGCUUCCUAUGGGAUUACCAGAAGAUGUUCGUGUUAUUGCAUGGGGCCUUUCCCUUGAGAGGCCGACUAUGAUCUUGUACGGCUAUAAUAACAUCCGGGAUCUGUUUGGGCACAAGGUGGAUCUUGGUCUCAUCAAGACAAACCCUAUAUGUCGUUUAGGACCUUGAUUAAAUUGACGGGAUAUAUUGAUCAUUGUUGCAAAAGUUUUCCUUCUCUUUAUGUUCCCUUGCUUUCUCUAAAUUCAUUGGGUUCAGUAUUUUUAGCUAAUUAAUGGUAAAGCGCUUAUUUUCAGCACAAAUUCUGUCUGGCAUUUGUUUGGCAUCGGGGCAAGAUUAGAUUCAUUUCAAGUUCCCUUUUAAUUAUUUGUCAGAUCUUGUUUUUAUUUAGUAUAUUUAGUAAAGUUGAAGGCUGCACUUUAAAGUGA